RNAcentral lists this long non-coding RNA (823 nucleotides) under Coturnix japonica (Japanese quail). RNAcentral describes it as "lncRNA (ENSCJPG00005002144.1)". Lineage: Eukaryota; Metazoa; Chordata; Aves; Galliformes; Phasianidae. The record is from RNAcentral.
GUACUGCUGUAUUGCUGUAUUGCUGUAUUGCUGUAUUGCUGUAUUGCUGUUCUACAGUGCUGCUGUGCUGUUUGUGCUGCAGUGCAGCUGUGCUGCUCUACUGCUGUGUUGCAGUGCUGCUCAUGCUGCUGUACUGCUGUACUACGGUGCUGCUGUAUUACUGUACUGCAGUGCUGCUCUACUGCAGUGCUGCAGUAUUGCCGUGCUGCUUGCGCUGCUUGUACUGCCUUACUGCUGUGCUGCUCGUGCUGCUGUUCUGCAGUACUGCUGUGUUGCAGUGCAGCUGUGCUGCUCAUGCUGCUCGUGCUGCUGUGCUACUCGUGCUGCAGUAUUGCAGUGCUGCAGUGCUACUCAUGCAGCUGUGUUGCUGUGCAGCUGUGCUGCUCAUGCUGCUCUGCUACUUGUGCUGCAGUACUGCAGUGCUGCAGGUGCUGCUGCACUGCUGUACUGCUGUGCUGCUCGUGCUGCAGUGCAGCUGUGCUGCUCUACUGCUGUGUUGGAGUGGUGCUCAUGCUGCUGUGCUGCAGUGUUGCUGUGCUGCUGUAUUACUGCACUGCAGUGCUGCUCUACUGCUGUGCUACUCGCGCUGCUGUGUUGUGGUGCUGCAGCGCUGCUCGUGCUGCAGUGCUUGCAGUGCAGCUGUGUUGCUGUGCUACUCGUGCCGCAGUAUUGCAGUGCUGCAGUGCUGCUCGUGCUGCUGUGAUGCAGUGCUGCUCUACUGCAGUGCUGCAGUGCUGCUCAUGCUGCAGUGUUGCAGUGCUGCAGCUCACCCUGCUCCAUCUCAUCCCCUCCACACAUCUCAGCUCAGCUCAGCCCCCGCAGC